GAUGAACGCUAGCGGCAGGCCUAAUACAUGCAAGUCGGACGGGAUCCAUUGAUAGCUUGCUAUCAAUGGUGAGAGUGGCGCACGGGUGCGUAACGCGUGAGCAACCUGCCUCCAUCAGGGGGAUAGCCUCUCGAAAGAGAGAUUAACACCGCAUAAUAUCAACAGUUCGCAUGUUCAGUUGAUUAAAUAUUUAUAGGAUGGAGAUGGGCUCGCGUGACAUUAGCUAGUUGGUAGGGUAACGGCCUACCAAGGCGACGAUGUCUAGGGGCUCUGAGAGGAGCAUCCCCCACACUGGUACUGAGACACGGACCAGACGCCUACGGGAGGCAGCAGUAAGGAAUAUUGGUCAAUGGGCGGAAGCCUGAACCAGCCAUGCCGCGUGCAGGAUGACUGCCCUAUGGGUUGUAAACUGCUUUUGUCCAGGAAUAAACCUAAAUACGAGUAUUUAGCUGAAUGUACUGGAAGAAUAAGGAUCGGCUAACUCCGUG
This 488-nucleotide ribosomal RNA is filed under the name uncultured bacterium. Its description in RNAcentral is "partial 16S ribosomal RNA". It matches the Rfam family "Bacterial small subunit ribosomal RNA", at positions 28 to 507 of the family's 1533-position model. The record is from RNAcentral.